RNAcentral lists this ribosomal RNA (1292 nucleotides) under metagenome. RNAcentral describes it as "bacterial LSU rRNA". It matches the Rfam family "Bacterial large subunit ribosomal RNA", at positions 1649 to 2925 of the family's 2925-position model. The record is from RNAcentral.
UCAAACCGACUCAGGUGGUUAGGUAGAGAAUACCAAGGCGAUCGAGUGAAUCGUGGUUAAGGAAUUCGGCAAAAUACCCCCGUAACUUCGGGAGAAGGGGGGCCCAGAGGGUGACGGGACUUGCUCCCCGAGCCUGAACGGCCGCAGAGACCAGGGAGAAGCGACUGUUUACUAAAAACACAGGUCCGUGCCAAGUCGCAAGACGAUGUAUACGGACUGACGCCUGCCCGGUGCUGGAACGUUAAGGGGACCGGUUAGCCUCACGGCGAAGCUGAGAACUUAAGCGCCAGUAAACGGCGGUGGUAACUAUAACCAUCCUAAGGUAGCGAAAUUCCUUGUCGGGUAAGUUCCGACCUGCACGAAUGGCGUAACGACUUCUCCACUGUCUCAACCACGAACUCGGCGAAAUUGCACUACGAGUAAAGAUGCUCGUUACGCGCAGAAGGACGGAAAGACCCCGGGACCUUUACUACAGCUUGGUAUUGGUGUUCGGUACGGCUUCUGUAGGAUAGGUGGGAGACUGUGAAGCUGACACGCCAGUGUCGGUGGAGUCAACGUUGAAAUACCACUCUGGUCGUUCUGGAUAUCUAACCUAGGUCCGUAAUCCGGAUCAGGGACAGUGCCUGGUGGGUAGUUUAACUGGGGCGGUUGCCUCCUAAAGGGUAACGGAGGCGCCCAAAGGUUCCCUCAGCCUGGUUGGCAAUCAGGUUUCGAGUGUAAGUGCACAAGGGAGCUUGACUGUGAGACUGACAAGUCGAACAGGGACGAAAGUCGGGACUAGUGAUCCGGCGGUGGCUUGUGGAAGCGCCGUCGCUCAACGGAUAAAAGGUACCCCGGGGAUAACAGGCUGAUCUUGCCCAAGAGUCCAUAUCGACGGCAUGGUUUGGCACCUCGAUGUCGGCUCGUCGCAUCCUGGGGCUGGAGUAGGUCCCAAGGGUUGGGCUGUUCGCCCAUUAAAGCGGUACGCGAGCUGGGUUUAGAACGUCGUGAGACAGUUCGGUCCCUAUCCUCUGCGCGCGCAGGAAACUUGAGAAGGGCUGUCCCUAGUACGAGAGGACCGGGAUGGACGAACCUCUGGUGUGUCAGUUGUUCUGCCAAGAGCACCGCUGAUUAGCUACGUUCGGGAGUGAUAACCGCUGAAAGCAUCUAAGCGGGAAGCAUGCUUCAAGAUGAGGUUUCCAUGGGGUUUACCCCGAGAGGCUCCCAGCUAGACUACUGGGUUGAUAGGCCGGAUGUGGAAGUGCGGUAACGCAUGGAGCUGACCGGUACUAAUAAGCCGAUAACUUGACUAC